CCUACGGGUGGCAGCAGUGAGGAAUAUUGGUCAAUGGCAGAGAGGCUGAACCAGCCAAGCCGCGUGAAGGACGACGGUGCCAAGCAUUGUAAACUUCUUUUGUCAAGGGACAAAAUCAGGCUCGAGAGCCUGACCGAGGGUACUUGAAGAAAAAGCAUCGGCUAACUACGUGCCAGCAGCCGCGGUAAUACGGAGGAGGCGAGCGUUAUCCGGAUUUAUUGGGUUUAAAGGGUGCGUAGGCGGGGUGUUAAGUCAGCGGGAAAAGCCCGGGGCUCAACCCCGGCCCGCCGUUGAAACUGGGUGGCUUGAGAGGGCGAGAGGUAAGCGGAAUGCGGAGGGUAGCGGUGAAAUGCGUAGAUAUUGCGAAGAACUCCGGUGGCGAAGGCGGCAUACCGGCGGCGAUCUGACGCUGAGGCACGAAAGCGUGGGUAGCGAACAGGAUUAGAUACCCGUGUAGUC
This 459-nucleotide ribosomal RNA is filed under the name uncultured bacterium. RNAcentral's name for it is "partial 16S ribosomal RNA". It matches the Rfam family "Bacterial small subunit ribosomal RNA", at positions 338 to 795 of the family's 1533-position model. The record is from RNAcentral.